GAUGAACGCUGGCGGCGUGCCUUACACAUGCAAGUCGAACGGCAGCAUGACGUGUAGCAAUACACGUUGAUGGCGAGUGGCGAACGGGUGAGUAAUAUAUCGGAACAUGUCCUGUAGCGGGGGAUAACGCGUCGAAAGAUGUGCUAAUACCGCAUACGCUCUACGGAGGAAAGCGGGGGUCGCAAGACCUCGCGCUAUAGGAGUGGCCGAUANCGGAUUAGCUAGUUGGCGGGGUAAAAGCCCACCAAGGCGACGAUCCGUAGCUGGUCUGAGAGGAUGAUCAGCCACACUGGAACUGAGACACGGUCCAGACUCCUACGGGAGGCAGCAGUGGGGAAUUUUGGACAAUGGGCGCAAGCCUGAUCCAGCCAUGCCGCGUGAGUGAAGAA
This 389-nucleotide ribosomal RNA is filed under the name uncultured bacterium. RNAcentral describes it as "bacterial SSU rRNA". It matches the Rfam family "Bacterial small subunit ribosomal RNA", at positions 28 to 412 of the family's 1533-position model. The record is from RNAcentral.